This 520-nucleotide ribosomal RNA is filed under the name uncultured Glomus. Its description in RNAcentral is "bacterial SSU rRNA". It matches the Rfam family "Eukaryotic small subunit ribosomal RNA", at positions 569 to 1107 of the family's 1831-position model. Lineage: Eukaryota; Fungi; Glomeromycota; Glomeromycetes; Glomerales; Glomeraceae. The record is from RNAcentral.
AGCAGCCGCGGUAAUUCCAGCUCCAAUAGCGUAUAUUAAAGUUGUUGCAGUUAAAAAGCUCGUAGUUGAACUUCGGGAUCAAUGGAUCGGUCAUGCCUUGGUAUGUACUGAUCAUAUUGGUUCUCACCUUCUAACGAACCAUAAUGUCAUUAAGUUGGUGUUUUGGGGAAUUAGGACUGUUACCUUGAAAAAAUUAGAGUGUUUAAAGCAGGCUCACGCUUGAAUACAUUAGCAUGGAAUAAUGAAAUAGGACAUCGCAUUCUAUUUUGUUGGUUUCUAGGAUCGAUGUAAUGAUUAAUAGGGAUAGUUGGGGGCAUUAGUAUUCAAUUGUCAGAGGUGAAAUUCUUGGAUUUAUUGAAGACUAACUACUGCGAAAGCAUUUGCCAAGGAUGUUUUCAUUAAUCAAGAACGAAAGUUAGGGGAUCGAAGACGAUCGAGACGUACGUCGUACGUUACCUAACUAAACUAAUUAGUACCGACCGUAACGGUAAGGUACGGAGGUAGUAGUAGUUUAAGUUUU